AUGAACGCUGGCGGCGUGCCUAAUACAUGCAAGUCGAACGAGUUCUGAUUAUUGAAGGGUGCUUGCAUCUUGAUUUAAUUUUGAACGAGUGGCGGACGGGUGAGUAACACGUGGGUAACCUGCCCUUAAGUGGGGGAUAACAUUUGGAAACAGAUGCUAAUACCGCAUAAAUCCAAGAACCGCAUGGUUCUUGGCUGAAAGAUGGCGUAAGCUAUCGCUUUUGGAUGGACCCGCGGCGUAUUAGCUAGUUGGUGAGGUAACGGCUCACCAAGGCAAUGAUACGUAGCCGAACUGAGAGGUUGAUCGGCCACAUUGGGACUGAGACACGGCCCAAACUCCUACGGGAGGCAGCAGUAGGGAAUCUUCCACAAUGGACGCAAGUCUGAUGGAGCAACGCCGCGUGAGUGAAGAAGGCUUUCGGGUCGUAAAACUCUGUUGUUGGAGAAGAAUGGUCGGCAGAGUAACUGUUGUCGGCGUGACGGUAUCCAACCAGAAAGCCACGGCUAACUACGUGCCAGCAGCC
This 523-nucleotide ribosomal RNA is filed under the name Lacticaseibacillus rhamnosus. RNAcentral describes it as "bacterial SSU rRNA". It matches the Rfam family "Bacterial small subunit ribosomal RNA", at positions 29 to 516 of the family's 1533-position model. The record is from RNAcentral. Lineage: Bacteria; Bacillati; Bacillota; Bacilli; Lactobacillales; Lactobacillaceae.